GUUGUUGCAGUUAAAAAGCUCGUAGUUGGAUUUCUGGUGGGAGUGGCCGGUCCGCCGUAAGGUGUGUACUUGGUUGUCUCCCGUCAUCCUUGUGGGAACUGCUCUGGCAUUAAGUUGUCGGGGUUAUGGAACACAUCGUUUACUGUGAAAAAAUUAGAGUGUUUAAAGCAGGCUUAUGCCGUUGAAUACAUUAACAUGGAAUAAUAAGAUAGGACUUUGGCGUCUAUUUUGUUGGUUUGCACACCAAGGUAAUGAUUAAUAGGGAUAGUUGGGGGUAUUCGUAUUUAAUUGUCAGAGGUGAAAUUCUUGGAUUUAUGAAAGACGAACUUCUGCGAAAGCAUUUACCAAAGAUGUUUUCAUUAAUCAAGAACGAAAGUUAGGGGAUCGAAGAUGAUUAGAUACCAUCGUAGUCUUAACCAUAAACUAUGCCGACUAGGGAUUGGCGGGCGUCCAUUUAUGACUCCAUCAGCACCUUAUGAGAAAUCAAAGUCUUUGGGUUCCGGGAGGAGUAUGGUCGCGAUGCUGAAACUUAAAGGAAUU
RNAcentral lists this ribosomal RNA (540 nucleotides) under uncultured eukaryote. RNAcentral describes it as "SSU rRNA". It matches the Rfam family "Eukaryotic small subunit ribosomal RNA", at positions 609 to 1154 of the family's 1831-position model. The record is from RNAcentral.